Molecule: non-coding RNA, 398 nt
Organism: Camelina sativa (false flax)
Lineage: Eukaryota; Viridiplantae; Streptophyta; Magnoliopsida; Brassicales; Brassicaceae
Source: RefSeq, a predicted model, not a curated record
UGGAGGUUUUGAAGAUUGGGGUUGAAUGUUUAUUUUUUGUGUGGUUAAUCUUGGGGAUUGUAUGGAUUUGUGAUGCACAGUCAUCUCCUACCGAUGCUCCUAAACUCCACAGGUUAUGUGUAGGCUUCAUUGCUUUCAGUUGCAUUAGAUAUGCAUUUACACUUCUAUUAUGUGCAGAUUCUCUUUUGGGUGGUGGAUUAUAUUUUCAGAGACCGAGCCCUGAUGAUUGUUGUUGCAUAUGCUUGGAGAAAUUUGGAGAGGAAGAAAGACUAGUAAUAAGGAAACUUGAAUGCUCACACGUAUUUCAUUCGAAGUGUAUAGACAAAUGGCUGAGAGUCAAAUCGACAUGCCCUCUCUGUCAAUCACUGGUUAGGGAUUGAUGAGAUGAGGUUAAGGUG